GAGGCUGAACCUGUUUUCUUUCUGCUCUGCUUUUAUGUCUGGGUAUAAUGUGUGAAUAGAGAAUAUUGUACCAAACAGACUGCCUUACAGUGCUGUAGAGCUUAGGAGGGAUCAGCAAGAAAAGUGGUCGUAGUAGGAAGUGGAGGGAGAUGCUGAGACUGCCCCCCGUCAGCCAGUGCAGUGAGCUUCGCCAGUCCAUCGAGAAGGAUUACAGCAGCCUCUGUGACAAGCAGCCGAUCGGAAGACUUCUCUUCAGGCAGUUCUGCGACACGAAAGGGGAUCUGAAGAGGCGGAUUGAGUUCCUGGACGCAGUGGCAGAAUAUGAAGUGGCUGCUGAUGAGGACCAAAGACACUGUGGGCUCCUGGUCUUGGACACAUUCUUCGGGGGAAAGGGUUCGCCAGCGCCUCUCCCAGAAAUACCUGAACACGUGGUGCUCAAGUGCAGGCAGAGGCUGUGGGAGGACCCGGCCAAAGACGUCUUCGAGGAGUGCACCAGAAUUGUCCAUGACCAUUUAAGUGAAGAGGCAUUUGAAGAAUACCAAGGAAGUGCAUAUUUUUCUCGCUUUUUACAGUGGAAAUGGCUGGAAAGGCAACCUGUGACAAAGAGCACAUUUAGGCACUACAGAGUCCUGGGGAAAGGCGGGUUUGGAGAGGUUUGUGCUUGUCAAGUGCGAGCUACAGGAAAAAUGUACGCCUGUAAGAAGCUAGAGAAGAAAAGGAUAAAGAGGAGGAAAGGGGAGGCCAUGGCCCUGAAUGAGAAGAGGAUCCUGGAGAAAGUGCACAGUAGGUUUGUAGUUAGUUUAUGCUACACAUACCAAACCAAAAAGUCCCUGUGCUUGGUGCUAACCAUUAUGAACGGAGGGGACCUGAAGUUUCACAUUCACAACCUGGGCGACCCCGGCUUCGAGGAGCAGAGAGCGAUCUUCUACGCGGCCGAGCUGUGCUGUGGCUUGGAGGAUCUGCAGCGGGAGCGCAUUGUGUACAGGGACUUAAAGCCCGAGAACAUCCUCCUCGAUGAUUACGGACACAUCCGGAUUUCAGAUCUUGGUUUGGCCUUGGAGAUCCCAGAAGGGGCGAAGAUCAGCGGAAGAGUUGGAACGCUGGGCUACAUGGCUCCAGAAGUCAUCAACUCUGAGAGCUAUACAUUCAGUCCUGACUGGUGGGGGCUCGGCUGUCUGAUAUACGAGAUGAUUGAGGGACAUUCUCCGUUCAAAAAAUACAAAGAGAAGGUUAAGCGCGAGGAGGUGGAGCGGAGAGUGAACAAAGAGACAGAACAGUACUCCGAGAAGUUCUCUGAGGACGCCAGGUCCAUCUGCAGCAUGUUACUCACCAAGGACCCUGCACAGCGCCUGGGCUGCAGGGGCGAAGGGGCGGCUGAAGUCAAGGGACACCCCGUGUUCAGGGACAUCAACUUCAGGCAGCUGGAGGCCCACAUGUUAGACCCGCCUUUCCACCCUGAUCCACAGGCGGUUUACUGCAAGGACAUCUUGGACAUCGAGCAGUUCUCCGCGGUGCGGGGCAUCCAACUGGACAGCACAGACAGCUGCUUCUACAGCGAGUUCGUCACGGGCUGUGUGUCCAUCCCCUGGCAGAACGAGAUGAUUGAGUCUGAAUGUUUCAAGGACAUCAACGAAAGUGAAAACGAGCCAGUUGUGGACGAGCCAGCUGUGGUUUUAGUGCCAGAUGAGAAGAUGAGUCAGCAAGUUCCCAGGCAGAAGAGAGGCUUCUUCCACAGGCUCUUCUCCAGAGGGCGCCUGUUGUGUGAGGGGAUGCACAUGGUGUGCAAGCUGCCCAGGCGGUGUGUGUGAGCAGCGAGAAGAGCCCGCCCAGAGAUGUUUGCUCUUGGUAUGAACUCUGUCCUGAUGGCAAAAGAAGAAAUGGCUCCAGCACUCGGAAAGAGACCCCGCUGUCCAUGGCAACGCGUCUCACACUAGGCUCGUGAAGCAUUCCGAAGAGCCAGCGUGAAAGAACGAAAGCCCUUUCAGUCUCUGCCUGGUGGUGUUCUGAUUCUCAGAGCUGUCAUGUCAUUCACCCGCGAUCAUGGGGAAAGCUGAUUCUCCUUUGAAUGUGGAAGAGUGUUUGGAGAGGCUUUCUGUGGUAGCAUUAAACUCAGGAGUGGCUUCCAAGUCUCCUUGGACCGUGGAUCAUCCUGCCGUAUACCCUGUCCGCUCCAGAGGGAUUUUGCCUCAGUCAUCCACUAAACAUUUCAUCCAUCGUGUCUCAGUAUAAACCCAGAGAAUGUGGCCAGGGCUGCUUCAACACUGGCUCCAGCAAGAAGAAGGUGGUGUCCUCCAGACGGUGAGCAAGCGCUGCGUGGCCAGACCACACGGGAGCACGUGCUGGGGCCCUGUCCCGCAGGCAACCUGCCAUAAACGUGUGGGACUCGCCUCACAACGCGGCCAGACCACACGGGAGCACGUGCUGGGGCCCUGUCCCGCCUGCAACCUGCCAUAAACGUGUGGGACUCACCUCACAACGUGGCCAGACCACACGGGAGCACAUGCUGAGGCCCUGUCCCGCAGGCGACCUGCCAUAAACGUGUGGGACUCACCUCACAACGCGGCCAGACCACACGGGAGCACGUGCUGGGGCCCUGUCCCGCCUGCAACCUGCCAUAAACGUGCGGGACUCACCUCACAACGUGGCCAGACCACACGGGAGCACGUGCUGGGGCCCUGUCCCGCCUGCAACCUGCCAUAAACGUGCGGGACUCACCUCACAACGCGGCCAGACCACACGGGAGCACGUGCUGGGGCCCUGUCCCGCAGGCAACCUGCAAUAAACAUGCGGGACUCACCUCACAACGCGGCCAGACCACACGGGAGCACGUGCUGGGGCCCUGUCCCGCAGGCAACCUGCAAUAAACGUGCGGGACUCACCUCACAACGCGGCCAGACCACACGGGAGCACGUGCUGGGGCCCUGUCCCGCCUGCAACCUGCCAUAAACGUGUGGGACUCACCUCACAACGUGGCCAGACCACACGGGAGCACAUGCUGAGGCCCUGUCCCGCAGGCAACCUGCAAUAAACGUGCGGGACUCACCUCACAAGGA
Capra hircus (goat) is the source of this 3053-nucleotide RNA transcript. It is a transcript of the gene named G protein-coupled receptor kinase 4, with no coding region annotated. The transcript is spliced from 17 exons. The record is from RefSeq and is a predicted model, not a curated record. NCBI's taxonomy places the organism in Eukaryota, Metazoa, Chordata, Mammalia, Artiodactyla, Bovidae.